GGAGCCUGAGAAACGGCUACCACAUCCAAGGAAGGCAGCAGGCGCGCAAAUUACCCAAUCCCGACACGGGGAGGUAGUGACAAUAAAUACUGAUACGGGGCUCUUUUGGGUCUCGUAAUUGGAAUGAGUACAAUCUAAAUCCCUUAACGAGGAACAAUUGGAGGGCAAGUCUGGUGCCAGCAGCCGCGGUAAUUCCAGCUCCAAUAGCGUAUAUUAAAGUUGUUGCAGUUAAAAAGCUCGUAGUUGAACCUUGGGUCUGGCUGGCCGGUCCGCCUCACCGCGAGUACUGGUCCGGCUGGACCUUUCCUUCUGGGGAAUCUCAUGGCCUUCACUGGCUGUGGGGGGAACCAGGACUUUUACUGUGAAAAAAUUAGAGUGUUCAAAGCAGGCCUUUGCUCGAAUACAUUAGCAUGGAAUAAUAGAAUAGGACGUGCGGUUCUAUUUUGUUGGUUUCUAGGACCGCCGUAAUGAUUAAUAGGGAUAGUCGGGGGCGUCAGUAUUCAGCUGUCAGAGGUGAAAUUCUUGGAUUUGCUGAAGACUAACUACUGCGAAAGCAUUCGCCAAGGAUGUUUUCAUUAAUCAGGGAACGAAAGUUAGGGGAUCGAAGACGAUCAGAUACCGUCGUAGUCUUAACCAUAAACUAUGCCGACUAGGGAUCGGACGGUGUUUCUAUUAUGACCCGUUC
RNAcentral lists this ribosomal RNA (685 nucleotides) under fungal sp. CFK2. Its description in RNAcentral is "SSU rRNA". It matches the Rfam family "Eukaryotic small subunit ribosomal RNA", at positions 391 to 1081 of the family's 1831-position model. Lineage: Eukaryota; Fungi. The record is from RNAcentral.